AAUAGAUACCCGGGUAGUCCACGCCGUAAACGAUGAGUGCUAAGUGUUAGAGGGUUUCCGCCCUUUAGUGCUGCAGCUAACGCAUUAAGCACUCCGCCUGGGGAGUACGGCCGCAAGGCUGAAACUCAAAGGAAUUGACGGGGGCCCGCACAAGCGGUGGAGCAUGUGGUUUAAUUCGAAGCAACGCGAAGAACCUUACCAGGUCUUGACAUCCUCUGAUAACCCUAGAGAUAGGGCUUUCCCCGUUCGGGGGACAGAGUGACAGGUGGUGCAUGGUUGUCGUCAGCUCGUGUCGUGAGAUGUUGGGUUAAGUCCCGCAACGAGCGCAACCCUUGAUCUUAGUUGCCAGCAUUCAGUUGGGCACUCUAAGGUGACUGCCGGUGACAAACCGGAGGAAGGUGGGGAUGACGUCAAAUCAUCAUGCCCCUUAUGACCUGGGCUACACACGUGCUACAAUGGAUGGUACAAAGGGCUGCAAACCUGCGAAGGUAAGCGAAUCCCAUAAAGCCAUUCUCAGUUCGGAUUGCAGG
This 530-nucleotide ribosomal RNA is filed under the name uncultured bacterium. Its description in RNAcentral is "bacterial SSU rRNA". It matches the Rfam family "Bacterial small subunit ribosomal RNA", at positions 777 to 1304 of the family's 1533-position model. The record is from RNAcentral.